This 1425-nucleotide long non-coding RNA is filed under the name Anas platyrhynchos platyrhynchos (common mallard). RNAcentral's name for it is "lncRNA (ENSAPLG00000017835.1)". Lineage: Eukaryota; Metazoa; Chordata; Aves; Anseriformes; Anatidae. The record is from RNAcentral.
GAGGGAAAGCCUGAGACCCUAAACCUCUAAUUCACAGAGAUGCUUUUGAAAUGACCACUUUGCUGUGUUCGCCCCAAAAGAAGCAAAGAGCAGGAGCAGCCCAGCUAACAGAAUUGGAACAGUCCUCUGAACAGCUACACAAAAACAGCGGUGGUUAUUCACAGCAGGACCAGCAGGACCCUCCUACACACAACAGGCUGAGGCAGGGGAAGAAGGGAGUAACCACGCAGCACAGAGAAGAAAGCUUUGCAGAAGGAGGAGGAAGAAAAGGACUCUACAAGCUGGGAACAAGAAUGCUGGGCUGGUGGUUUGAACUAGUUCCCUUGAGUUCCUUCCCAAUCUCUUACCUCUCUGUAUCCUCAUUAUUUGAUUAUUACAAGAGAAAUCUAAAGAGUGCAUUCACAGAUUCCCAAAUAAAGGUCUGAGACAACUGUGAAGAAUCAGAAGAGCAGACAAUGUUUUUUGCAACCUAUCAAUCAAGACUGACCAAGUCAAACGUUGCUUGAUGCUGGUUUUUAUAUCUCUGCUUAUUAUAUUUUUAAUGGAUGUGGUGCCCGGCAGCCUCAUUUGUGGUUUCUGUUGUGCAUGACUCCAACCAGUGAGCUUACUGAAGGCUUUUCCCAGUCCCAUUAAGGAGAAACUGUGCAGGAGAUGGAUGUGGAUGAUCAGAUAAGAAAGCAAAUGGGGCAACAUUGAUCACUACAGCAAGCCAAAGCUAUCACUUCCCUGUUGUGUUUAUUUUUUUGUAGGCAAAACAGCAAAGGAAAUUUUUAAGGGGGCAUUCAAAGAGUUAUUACUGCUAUUAAAGAGCAGUGGGCUUUGUAGUGACUGCACCCAGCUCUGAGAGGAGCUGUGGGGGGUUGAUGGGCCCAGAAUAGACCAGAGAGCAGCAGAGAUGCGCAGCACUUUCUUAUACAGUUCCACCAGGAUGCAAGUGGUGGGACAUAGCCAAAAUGAAGUGCCAGGAAAAAGGCAACCCAUGGAAAAGCUGGAUGAGUGAGGAGGAAGAAGGGGCUGCAGAGUCCAUUCCCCUAAAGCAGAGGAGUGGAGCAGCCAGUGACAGUUCAGGAGGGAGAAGCAACAAGGGACAAACAGCUUCCUUCCUCCCCAGCAUGCGGUAUGCAGUGAUGAUUGAGCUCUGAGCUGAUUUAUACUGACUGCAGCUACUGCUGUCUCACUUAUCCUGGUUCUUCACAGUGCAACCCUCUUUGCACAUUCUAGCCAUCACCCUGUUCUUAUUGAUCAUAAUUUUGCAACAGGAACAGGGUGACUUUCCUUCCCACCCACCCACACUUUUCAGGCUUCUUGUGUACAAUAAUGAUUCUUAAAUCCCUGAGCACUGAAUUUCUUUCUCUGAAAUCUUCCAAACCACGCCAGACAAUAUUAUUCAAUCUCUCUAGCCCACAAAGCUCUCUGGAAAGUCAU